GGGCGAUUAGCUCAGCCGGUAAGAGCGCUUGCUUGACAUGCAAGAGGUCAGAGGUUCAAGUCCUCUAUCGCCCA
RNAcentral lists this transfer RNA (74 nucleotides) under bacterium. RNAcentral describes it as "tRNA-Val". It matches the Rfam family "tRNA". From Rfam's summary of the family: Transfer RNA (tRNA) molecules are approximately 80 nucleotides in length. Their secondary structure includes four short double-helical elements and three loops (D, anti-codon, and T loops). RNAcentral also lists the same sequence under 1 other name. The record is from RNAcentral.